UACGAAGGGGGCUAGCGUUGCUCGGAAUUACUGGGCGUAAAGCGCACGUAGGCGGCUUUCUAAGUCGGGGGUGAAAUCCUGGAGCUCAACUCCAGAACUGCCUUCGAUACUGGGUAUCUCGAGUCCGGAAGAGGUGAGUGGAAUUCCGAGUGUAGAGGUGAAAUUCGUAGAUAUUCGGAGGAACACCAGUGGCGAAGGCGGCUCACUGGUCCGGUACUGACGCUGAGGUGCGAAAGCGUGGGGAGCAAACAGG
Molecule: ribosomal RNA, 253 nt
Filed under: uncultured bacterium
Lineage: Bacteria
Description: partial 16S ribosomal RNA
Rfam family: Bacterial small subunit ribosomal RNA
Source: RNAcentral